This 301-nucleotide ribosomal RNA is filed under the name uncultured bacterium. RNAcentral describes it as "partial 16S ribosomal RNA". It matches the Rfam family "Bacterial small subunit ribosomal RNA", at positions 509 to 807 of the family's 1533-position model. The record is from RNAcentral.
CAGCAGCCACGGUAAUACGAAGGGGGCUAGCGUUGUUCGGAAUUACUGGGCGUAAAGCGCACGUAGGCGGAUAUUUAAGUCAGGGGUGAAAUCCCAGAGCUCAACUCUGGAACUGCCUUUGAUACUGGGUAUCUUGAGUAUGGAAGAGGUGAGUGGAAUUCCGAGUGUAGAGGUGAAAUUCGUAGAUAUUCGGAGGAACACCAGUGGCGAAGGCGGCUCACUGGUCCAUUACUGACGCUGAGGUGCGAAAGCGUGGGGAGCAAACAGGAUGAGAUACCCGAGUAGUCCCUGUCUCUUAUAC